UGGGGAAUCUUGGACAAUGGGGGCAACCCUGAUCCAGCCAUGCCGCGUGAGUGAUGAAGGCCUUAGGGUCGUAAAGCUCUUUCGCCUGUGAAGAUAAUGACGGUAGCAGGUAAAGAAACCCCGGCUAACUCCGUGCCAGCAGCCGCGGUAAUACGGAGGGGGUUAGCGUUGUUCGGAAUUACUGGGCGUAAAGCGCACGUAGGCGGACCAGAAAGUUGGGGGUGAAAUCCCGGGGGCUCAACCCCGGAACUGCCUCCAAAACUAUUGGUCUAGAGUUCGAGAGAGGUGAGUGGAAUUCCAAGUGUAGAGGUGAAAUUCGUAGAUAUUUGGAGGAACACCAGUGGCGAAGGCGGCUCACUGGCUCGAUACUGACGCUGAGGUGCGAAAGUGUGGGGAGCAAACAGGAUUAGAUACCCUGGGUAGUCCACACCGUAAAACGAUGAAUGCCAGUCGUCGGGUAGCAUGCUAUUCGGUGACACACCUACGGAUUAAGCAUUCCGCCUGGGGAGUACGGUCGCAAGAUUAAAA
This 528-nucleotide ribosomal RNA is filed under the name uncultured bacterium. Its description in RNAcentral is "bacterial SSU rRNA". It matches the Rfam family "Bacterial small subunit ribosomal RNA", at positions 355 to 899 of the family's 1533-position model. The record is from RNAcentral.